GCCUUCGUGGACCAUAGUGGUCACCUCACACUUGUUGCGAAUGACGACUAAGUGUAAUGAGGAGCCGGGGGUUCGACUCCCCCCGAAGGCA
This is a non-coding RNA of Mycena rebaudengoi, 91 nucleotides long. NCBI's taxonomy places the organism in Eukaryota, Fungi, Basidiomycota, Agaricomycetes, Agaricales, Mycenaceae. The record is from the annotation of a GenBank genome assembly.